UACGAAGGGGGCUAGCGUUGCUCGGAAUCACUGGGCGUAAAGGGUGCGUAGGCGGGUCUUUAAGUCAGGGGUGAAAUCCCACGGCUCAACCGUGGAAGUGCCUUUGAUACUGUGAGCCUCGAGGGAGGUAGGGGCGUGCGGAACUUCCGGUGGAGCGGUGAAAUGCGUAGAUAUCGGAAGGAACACCGGUGGCGAAAGCGGCGCGCUGGACCUCUUCUGACGCUGAGGCGCGAAAGCCAGGGGAGCAAACGGG
This 253-nucleotide ribosomal RNA is filed under the name uncultured bacterium. RNAcentral describes it as "partial 16S ribosomal RNA". It matches the Rfam family "Bacterial small subunit ribosomal RNA", at positions 524 to 776 of the family's 1533-position model. The record is from RNAcentral.